CGUAGAAGCAACACCUCGGACGAGGAGAAUCAUGGUGAAAUUUGUGAUCCGUCGGAUCGACGAUAUAUUUUACUGAUCAGGAACACCGAAAACUACGUCGACUGAAUUGACAGGCGAAUUAAGAAAAACGCAAAAAAAAAAAAAAAAAAAAAAAAAAAAAAAGAAAAAGAGAGAGAAAGAAAAACAAGAAGAAAAAAGAAAGAAAAAAAAAUAAAGAAACUAAUCGUCAUAAUUUUCAUUCGUUCCAUUGAUAAAAUUCAACCAAUAAUAGAUUCAAAGUUCUUUUUUUUUUUUCUUUUUUUUUUUUUUUUAUGGGAUCGGUAAAAGAGCAUCAAGAAUAAUUUUGUUUCAAUAACGUCGGAAUCCUUAAUGGUCGAUGGCGUCGCCAUCAAGAGUUGGCAAUUUGACUGGUCGAACUGUGUACGUGCUCAAGAGUGGCACAUAGAAAGAAAAAGAAAAGAAACAGAAGAAAAAGAAGAAGAAGAAGAAGAAGAGGAAAAGAGGAAGAGGAAGAGGAAGAGGAAGAAAGGAUAAGGAAAAGGAAAGAAGAAAGAAAAUGAAGGAAAACACGGAAACGGUUUGAUAGUGUGGUGAUAGUGAUGGUGAUGGUAGUGGUGUAGUUGUAGUGGUAGUGGUGAUGCUACUGCCAGCGCGCUUCUGCUUUGCAUAAUCAAAUCCUACGACAAUGUGGGAGAAUGCGAAGUACAGAAGAGAGAGUCCUCCCCUCUCAAACCUCCACCACCCCUCCUAUCCUCCGCCCAUCUCUUCUCACCCCGUUCUGUCUUCAGAGAGGGUAAAUCCUCUGAGCACGCGAGGACUUCGAAAAAUGCACUUUCAACUUUUCCCCAUACCUUAGGGAAGAUGGACCAACCUUUUGGUCAUGAUGUUCGAGGGGUUUGCAAAUGAUCGUUGACAAUCAUUACCUUGUAAAACGUUAAAAAAAGAAAUCAGAAAAUUAAAAGGCGAUAUGGCAUCAACUUAUAUCACAUAAAUGGAAUAUACAAGAUUCAACGGAAUGGAUUUAUUCGAAGCAUCAAACUCCUAUGGUGAUUCUCUAUCGGUGAUUAAAUCUCCUUUUGUUCCGCGCGUCGGAUUAUUCUAAUUUCUCUGAAACGUAAACGAUUCCAAUUAUAACGAGAUAGUCUCUCUCUUUCUCUUAAAAAAAAAAAAAAAAAAAAAAAAAAAAAAAAAAAAAAAGGGUAACGCAUUUCGGUCAAUAUUUUUUUUCCCCCUACAUAAACGUCCAACAAAUAAUUAUUUACAUUCGAACGAUAGCAAAAACAAAAUAAAAUAAAAUCUAUUAAAGGACGUUGAUAAUUAGAAUUCUCAUUGAAAAUCGCGUAUUUUUUCGCUUACAUUAUUUUUCGAAUAUUACGCUUGAUUCGUCGAUAUGAUUGAAAAAGAGAGAAAUGAAAAAAAAAAAAAAAAGAAAAAAAAAAGAAAAAAGAAAAGAAAAAGUUAGUCAAAGGGAAUGAAGGAAAAUAUCCUGCGACAUUUGGCAAGGCAAUGUGAAGAAAAAAGAGAAAGAUAAAAGAAAAAAAAAAAAAAAAAGAAAAGAAAAGAAGGAAAAAGAAGAAAAAAAAGAUAACGUGCCUUCGCUUAAGGAUGGAGGGUGAAAAAAAAAAAAAAAGAAAAAUAGAAGAAAAAGAAGAAGAAGUAGAAGAAGAGAAAGAGAUGGAAGAGGUGGUAGAAGAAGAAAGCGUCGGAAAGUUUGACGAAAGGGAAGGAGAGAUGGCACGCACUCCCUCGUCAAAAUGGACGGGCUAAGCUCGUAUAAGUCUAACGGGAUUUUCGAUCGUGGGUGGUGGAAUAUACAUAUAUACAUAUAUACAUAUAUAUAUGCAUUUACAUGUGUAUGUGUGCGUGUGUGUGUGUAGGCCACAGCCAAUGCGAAUAAGAGAGAAAGAGAGAUUGGAAGAGUAGGUGGGACUCCCUCAAGAUGGCGGCUGUAAGGGAUGGUUUAGGGCGCAUGAGGGUUGCGGGUGAAGCAAUAUAUCAGUAGAAGACCCUUCUCUCGAGGGUAACUUCAACCCCGACCGAUGGUGGCCGUUACCAUCUCUUUCUCUCUCUCUCUCUCUCUUCGUCUUUUACCCUAUGUAGCCUCCACCAUCUUCUUCUUCUUCUUCUUCUUCAUCUUCUUCUUCUUCUUUUUCAUCCAUCCAUCCAUCCAUCCAUCCAUUCGUUCAUUCUUUCUCAUCUUAAGAUACGUCUCAAAGAUGCUUACCCUCGAUCAGUACCACCCUCAAGAAAAAGUGAGAAAGAGAAAGAUAGGUAGAGAUAAAGAGAUAGAGAUAGAUAGAUGAGAGAGAGAGAGAGAGAAAGAGAGAAAGAGAGCCCAGGGGUCCGUUCACGAAAGUAUAAACGUCACCGAAGACUGAUGGAAAUGGACGAGACGUUCGAGGGAGGAGCGGACGAUCGGGAAAUGGUGGAAAAUCGAAUGGAGGGCGAAACGAGAAAACAGGACGGACUUGAGGGGUGCAUUUCUCUUUCUCCCUUCCCCCGUCUCUCUCUCUCUCUCUUUCUCUUUCUCUCUUUUUCUUUCUUCUUUGAGCUAAAAGCUUCGUUCAUCGGACUUCUCUCUUUCUGUCUCUCUCUGUCUCUCUCUCUCUCUCUCUCUCUCUCUCUCUUUCUUAUUUUCCAUUCCGUUCUUUUGUCACGAUGAUGUCGAAUCGAUGGAGCAACCCAGAGAUAUCCUAUCGGAAGUGACUGGAAAAGGGAGUCCCUAUGAGUCCCUCAGAGACGACGAGUUUGACCUGGGGCUUGAGAAAUUUAUUAUAAAUUUUUCUGAUUGGUUAGAUCAAUAAUACAUUAGAUAUAUUUAUUUUCUUCAUCACCGUCGUCGAUAUACUAUUUGAUGUUAUUUUUCUGCGACUAUUGGCGAUAGCAAAUCGUUCCUUCGAGAAUAAUAAUAAUAAAAAUAAUAAUAAUAAUAAUAAUAAUAAUAAUAAUAGUAAUAAUAUUAAUAAUAAUAAAAAUAAUAAUGAAAAAGAAAAAGUAAAAGAAAAAUAAAUGAUCAUGAAGAAGGGUUAUUACGCGACCUACGUAGAAACUCACACGGUUUUACGGACAAAACUCUUGGUUAUGAAUUUCUCGACCUUCGUAUGCUUGUUCAUAUAAUAACUUCGAAAUAGAAGGGGAAAGGAAGGAAAGAAAAAGAGAAAAAAGAAAGAAAGAAAGAAAGAAAAAAAAAAUAAGAAAAGAUACGAAAAAUCCGCCAUCCUACGAAUUUCUCCUCUAAUCACAUUUUGUCUCUCUUUUUCUUUUUCUCUCUCUCUCUCUCUCUUUCUCUCUCUCUCUCUCUCUCUCUCUCUAUAUAUAUAUAUAUAUAUAUAUAUCUCGACGGAAGAGUCGUCGCAUGUCGAAAUAGAGGAAAGCAAGAGCAUCGAGAUAAAAGGAAAAAAAAAGGAAAAGAAGAAAAAAAAAGAAAGAAAAAGAAAAAUGACGAGAGGGAAGAAAUUCGUAAGAGCGAGGACAAUACCGAAGGCUCGCGUUAAUCGACGCUUGCGGAACGAGACGAAAAAAGAGAACGAGAGAACAAGAAAACGAGUAAACGACAGAGAGAGAGAGAGAGAGAGAGAGAAAAACAAAAAAGCAUACGUUGGGUCGAGGUAAAUCGUGCUUCUCGAUGAGGAAAAAGAAAAUUUCGAAAGUAAAAGAAGAAGAAGAAGAAGUAGAAGAAGAAGAAACGAAAACCGUUCACGGAAAUCCAGAGUUGAACGAAAUCGCAGAGCUUUUCAAUUGCGAUUUCCUCUGGCACACUCGAGAAAUUCAACCUCUCUCUCUCUCUCUCUCUCUUUCCCUCUCCUUUUCUCUCUUUUUCUUUCUGUCUCUCUCUCUCACUUAUUCUCCCCUUUCUCUCUUCCUUUUCACCCCAAGGUUUCUUGCAAAGAUCAGCGAAGGUAGGUGGGUUUGCUUGCAGGAUCAAGAAUAACACUAUUCGAAAAGCUUUUUCUACGUUUUUAAAAUGCACGUUCGUACCGAACCGAUGCGUAACUCGGUAGAACGUAGUAGAUGCGGGAAAAAUUGUUGAAGGGAAAAAUUUUCAAGGCGUAAAAGAAAAAC
Long non-coding RNA from Vespa velutina, 4062 nucleotides. RefSeq lists it as uncharacterized. NCBI's taxonomy places the organism in Eukaryota, Metazoa, Arthropoda, Insecta, Hymenoptera, Vespidae. The transcript is spliced from 3 exons. The record is from RefSeq and is a predicted model, not a curated record.